GAUGAAGAACGCAGCGAAACGCGAUAAGUAAUGUGAAUUGCAGAAUUCAGUGAAUCAUCGAAUCUUUGAACGCACAUUGCGCCCCUUGGUAUUCCGAGGGGCAUGCCUGUUCGAGCGUCAUUACACCACUCAAGCUAUGCUUGGUAUUGGGCGUCGUCCUUAGUUGGGCGCGCCUUAAAGACCUCGGCGAGGCCACUCCGGCUUUAGGCGUAGUAGAAUUUAUUCGAACGUCUGUCAAAGGAGAGGAACUCUGCCGACUGAAACCUUUAUUUUUCUAGGUUGACCUCGGAUCAGGUAGGGAUACCCGCUGAACUUAAGCAUAUCAAUAAGCGGAGGA
Molecule: unclassified non-coding RNA, 337 nt
Filed under: soil metagenome
Description: partial contains 5.8S ribosomal RNA, internal transcribed spacer 2, and large subunit ribosomal RNA
Rfam family: 5.8S ribosomal RNA (bases 1-120)
Source: RNAcentral